This 2666-nucleotide long non-coding RNA is filed under the name Homo sapiens (human). RNAcentral describes it as "HSALNT0317518". The record is from RNAcentral. Lineage: Eukaryota; Metazoa; Chordata; Mammalia; Primates; Hominidae.
AAUCCUGUGGAGCAACUCAUAACCCAUGAGGAAUGGAAGCCGACAGACAGACUCAUCCCCAGGACAGGUGGUUCUCACUACAUCUCAUAAAGCUUCUUAGAAGAUCUUACAGGAUUGAGCAACCAGCCAGCCACAGCAGGGGCCAACUGGAUAACACGUCUUUGCAUAGGCUCUCCCUCUGUCCCUGUCACCCUCCCCUUUUCCUAACCUUGUUCCUUGGGAUUAUGUUUUGAAAUAAAUUAUUCAGAGAAAUGAAGCCAAAGCUGACCCAUUAGCCAAUAGCUAGGUUCUGUGAUGACAGAGCUUCUGGGCUAUAAUCGUUUACUGAGAAGCCAGCGUUCCUGAGGGGAUAAUGGCUCGUUCCAUUCAGCUGCAGCAUAGGAGUGAGGGCAGGGCAUUAGCAGAAGAUAACACCAGAAACGUGCUCUGGGGCCUGUUGAUGACUUUCUGUGCCAAGCACAGACAUUUAGCCUUUAUUCUGUAUGUGAUGGGAAGCCAGUGCCAGUGGUGGGUUUGAGCAGGGAACCAGCAACCAGUGGUGGGUUUGAGCAGGGAACCAGCAAUACUCAAGCUCUGCUUGGAUGGAGGCCAGUCAGGGAGGAGUUAGGGCAGGAGGACCAGUCAGGGAGGAGACUUAGGGCAGGAGGACCAGUCAGGGAGGAGACUUAGGGCAGGAGGACCGGUCAGGGAGGAGUUAGGGCUGGAGGACGGGUCAGGGAGGAGUUAGGGCUGGAGGACCGGUCAGGGAGGAGUUAGGGCAGGAGGACAGGUCAGGGAGGAGUUAGGGGAGGAGGACCGGUCAGGGAGGAGUUAGGGCAGGGGGAUUGGUCAGGGAGGAGUUAGGGCAGGGGGAUUGGUCAGGGAGGAGUUAGGGCAGGAGGACCGGUCAGGGAGGAGUUAGGGCAGGAGGACCGGUCAGGGAGGAGACUUAGGGCAGGAGGACUGGUCAGGGAGGAGUUAGGGCAGGAGGACCGGUCAGGGAGGAGUUAGGGCAGGAGGACCGGUCAGGGAGGAGACUUAGGGCAGGGGGAUUCGUCAGGGAGGAGUUAGGGCAGGAGGACCGGUCAGGGAGGAGUUAGGGCAGGAGGACUGGUCAGGGAGGAGUUAGGGCAGGAGGACAGGUCAGGGAGGAGACUUAGGGCAGGAGGACCGGUCAGGGAGGAGACUUAGGGCAGGAGGACUGGUCAGGGAGGAGUUAGGGCAGGAGGACCGGUCAGGGAGGAGUUAGGGCAGUAGGACCGGUCAGGGAGGAGUUAGGGCUGGAGGACUGGUCAGGGAGGAGUUAGGGCUGGAGGACAGGUCAGGGAGGAGUUAGGGCAGGAGGACGGGUCAGGGAGGAGUUAGGGGAGGAGGACUGGUCAGGGAGGAGUUAGGGCUGGAGGACCGGUCAGGGAGGAGUUAGGGCAGGAGGACCGGUCAGGGAGGAGUUAGGGCUGGAGGACCGGUCAGGGAGGAGUUAGGGCAGGAGGACCGGUCAGGGAGGAGUUAGGGCAGGAGGACCGGUCAGGGAGGAGACUUAGGGCAGGAGGACUGGUCAGGGAGGAGUUAGGGCUGGAGGACCGGUCAGGGAGGAGUUAGGGCAGGAGGACUGGUCAGGGAGGAGUUAGGGCAGGAGGACAGGUCAGGGAGGAGUUAGGGCAGGAGGAUCGGUCAGGGAGGAGUUAGGGCAGGAGGACCGGUCAGGGAGGAGUUAGGGCAGGAGGACCGGUCAGGGAGGAGUUAGGGCAGGAGGACAGGUCAGGGAGGAGACUUAGGGCUGGAGGACUGGUCAGGGAGGAGUUAGGGCAGGAGGACCAGUUAGGAGGCAGUGACUUAGGACUUCAGCAGUGGCACUAGAAAGGGGAUGGAUAUGAACGACAUUGCAAAGUAAAACUAGAGAGACGGCCGGGCACAGUGGCUCACUCCUGUAAUCCCAGCACUUUGGGAGGCCAAGGCGGGUGGAUCAUGAGGUCAGGAGAUCGAGACCAGCCUGGCCAACAUGGUGAAACCCUAUCUCUACUAGAAAAAAAAAAAAAUAGCCAGGCGUGGUGGCGGGCGCCUGUAAUCCCAGCUACUCCAGAGGCUGAGGCAGGAGAAUUUGCUUGAACCAGGGAGUCGGAAGUUGCAGUGAGCUGAGAUCGCACCACUGCACUCCAGCCUGGGCAAUAGAGUGAGACUCCGUCUCAAUAACAAAACAAACAAACAAAAACCUAGAGAGACUUGGCACCUUGCAGAGAGAAGCAAAAGAUGACCCUGAGGUCUGGAGUCCAGGAAGCCAAGGACAGCAAAAGCAUCCACAGAAACAGGAAAAGGGCAGGUGUGGGAGGGAAGGUGAGAGGUUCAUCAGACCUCACAGCCCCUGGCAGCGCCUCCUGGAUCUUUGAAAUCCUGUGCACCCCAGGAGACUCCGGGAGGCCCAUCUGAGCUCACCGGAGACAGGUCUGCCGUCUCUCCUCUCAUCACUGGGGACAGAAAGCCUGAACAUGAGGCCUGGACUACGGGGCUCAGACCAGAAUAUUUCCAGACUUAAGGGCAGUAAUGUGGAGCCCAGGAAGGAAUAUUGAGGACAGAGGGCACAUUACUUAGCUCAAGGGGUGCUGGGUUCUUAUUUUCUACUUUCAAGAAAUGUUUGCUAUAGUCACUGUAACCACCACAAAACAGUGAAUAAUACCAUGAGCCAAAUGUAU